This 492-nucleotide ribosomal RNA is filed under the name uncultured bacterium. RNAcentral describes it as "partial 16S ribosomal RNA". It matches the Rfam family "Bacterial small subunit ribosomal RNA", at positions 29 to 507 of the family's 1533-position model. The record is from RNAcentral.
AGUGAACGCUGGCGGUAGGCCUAACACAUGCCAGUCGAACGGCAGCACAGUAAGAGCUUGCUCUUACGGGUGGCGAGUGGCGGACGGGUGAGGAAUACAUCGGAAUCUACUUUUUCGUGGGGGAUAGCGUAGGGAAACUUACGCUAAUACCGCAUACGACCUACGGGUGAAAGCAGGGGAUCUUCGGACCUUGCGCGAUUGAAUGAGCCGAUGUCGGAUUAGCUAGUUGGCGGGGUAAAGGCCCACCAAGGCGACGAUCCGUAGCUGGUCUGAGAGGAUGAUCAGCCACACUGGAACUGAGACACGGUCCAGACUCCUACGGGAGGCAGCAGUGGGGAAUAUUGGACAAUGGGCGCAAGCCUGAUCCAGCCAUACCGCGUGGGUGAAGAAGGCCUUCGGGUUGUAAAGCCCUUUUGCUGGGAAAGAAAAGCAGCAGGUUAAUACCCCGCUGUUCUGACGGUACCCAAAGAAUAAGCACCGGCUAACUUCGUG